CAGUGGGGAAUAUUGGACAAUGGGCGAAAGCCUGAUCCAGCCAUGCCGCGUGUGUGAAGAAGGUCUUCGGAUUGUAAAGCACUUUAAGUUGGGAGGAAGGGCAGUAAGUUAAUACCUUGCUGUUUUGACGUUACCAACAGAAUAAGCACCGGCUAACUUCGUGCCAGCAGCCGCGGUAAUUAAACUG
This 187-nucleotide ribosomal RNA is filed under the name Pseudomonas aeruginosa. Its description in RNAcentral is "partial 16S ribosomal RNA". It matches the Rfam family "Bacterial small subunit ribosomal RNA", at positions 352 to 528 of the family's 1533-position model. Lineage: Bacteria; Pseudomonadati; Pseudomonadota; Gammaproteobacteria; Pseudomonadales; Pseudomonadaceae. The record is from RNAcentral.